AAGUGGGGGCAACCCUGCGAGUACAGCGGCGCACGGGUGAGUAACACGUAGGUAACCUACCUCCGAGAUUGGGAUAACCUGUCGAAAGACGGGCUAAUACCGAAUAAGACCACGAAGGCUAUGGCCUUUGGGGUAAAAGGUGGCCUCUGCUUGCAAGCUACUACUUAGAGAUGGGCCUGCGUGCCAUUAGCUAGUUGGCGGGGUAACGGCCCACCAAGGCGAAGAUGGCUAGCUGGUCUGAGAGGAUGACCAGCCACACUGGGACUGAGACACGGCCCAGACUCCUACGGGAGGCAGCAGUGGGGAAUAUUGCGCAAUGGGCGAAAGCCUGACGCAGCGACGCCGCGUGGGUGAUGAAGGCCUUCGGG
Molecule: ribosomal RNA, 368 nt
Filed under: uncultured bacterium
Lineage: Bacteria
Description: bacterial SSU rRNA
Rfam family: Bacterial small subunit ribosomal RNA
Source: RNAcentral